Molecule: RNase P RNA, 327 nt
Filed under: Clostridia bacterium
Lineage: Bacteria; Bacillati; Bacillota; Clostridia
Description: RNase P RNA component class A
Rfam family: Bacterial RNase P class A
About the family: Ribonuclease P (RNase P) is a ubiquitous endoribonuclease, found in archaea, bacteria and eukarya as well as chloroplasts and mitochondria. Its best characterised activity is the generation of mature 5'-ends of tRNAs by cleaving the 5'-leader elements of precursor-tRNAs.
Source: RNAcentral
CUCGUUGGUUGGACAAUCGCGCUGCUUGCAGUGAGGAAAGUCCGAGCACCACAGAACAAUCACGCUUGAUAACAUCAAGCCAGGGCGACCUGAGGAAAAGUGCAACAGAAAUAUACAGCCCCUUAAAAGGCAAUGGUGAAAAAGUGGGGUAAGAGCUCACUCGAAAUAUUGGUGACAAUAAUUCGCUGUAAACUCCGUGAGGUGCAAGGUGUGGAACACAUGGGCUGUUCGUCCGUUCCCGUGACCGCUUGAGCAUGACAGCAAUGUCAUGACUAGAUUGAUGAUUGUCUUAAAUGACAGAACUCGGCUUACAGACCAACCAGAAAC